Non-coding RNA from Oryza sativa Japonica Group (Japanese rice), 1316 nucleotides. NCBI's taxonomy places the organism in Eukaryota, Viridiplantae, Streptophyta, Magnoliopsida, Poales, Poaceae. The record is from RefSeq and is a predicted model, not a curated record.
AAAUAAAGCUCAUAUAUUAAUCUAUAUAUGAAUCUAUUUAAAACCCAAAAAACAUCACAUACUGAUAUAGACGUAAUAAAAUGAUGUCCUUUGUCUAGAAAAGUUCGGCCCACUGUAGCCAGGUUUGGGGAUACAGCCCAAGUAGGCCCGCCCAUCUAAAUUUGGCCCGCACUAGUAUUGGCUUGAGAUUCAAUGUUUUUGGGCCUGAUGCUUGUUAUAAAAGUAAAUUAGUCGAUAUAGCGGAACGACGACUAACCUUCUUGAUCGAUUUAGUCAUUGAUCACCUAAGACACGUCAGAUAACGACACAGGAACACACGAUAUUUGUUAACAAGGUUCAACCGAAGCCUACUUCCCCAGGGCUCUGAUUAUGGGCACUCCUCUCAAACCAAUAUAGCUCCUAGUCGCUACGAGUCCAUGGCCACGUCGCCAUCAUCUCCCUGCGUGUCUACGCUAUAUUGUAGUCGCCAUAGUUAUAUUGUGGUGCCCCCCUCUCUAUUUAAGAGAGUUACCAGGUUACAGAGCUCGACUCUAACUCCACCCCCUACCACCUAUUAUAACUCCAAGUCCAACUAUAGCCAAAUAGGACUAGUAUAUAUUCGACAUCUAUUCUAACAAUAUUAAUAAAACGUGUUCAACGAAUUAAGAGGCUGGCAACCCUGGUGAGUAUUGCCUAGCAUAUAUAGAGUUUACCCUUGUAGAGAAGCAAACUCAGCAUGUAACAGGCUUCUUGGCUUUUGCUGCCUUGAAGAGUUGAAGUAUAUAUGAAAGCUAGGGCGCUUGAGGCCUAUAUAUACAUCAUAUGCUGCGUCACAACAUGAAUAUCCGGCUUAUAAUAUAUAUAGGUGUUGCUAAUUGAACAAAUGCAUGAUUUAUAUAGGAGUUGGAGGCACGGGGAAAUAUACUACUAGUCGACAUGAUUGAUGUAGUCCCAUAGAGGUUUCAGGAGCAACACAAAAUAGAUCAGUUGCAAGGUAAUGGUACAGCCACAGCGUGCUUGACAGCAUCGCCUGGCUCGUCGCCAGCCAUAGCUAUGAAGCUGACCCGAUUCGUCGACGACGAGAGGAAGAGCUCGAUGAUGCAAUCUCCUGAAGAAAAUUGUCAUCUCAGUUGUCUAGAUCAGUACGGGACAAAUGAACAAGCCCAAGUAGGCUCAUCUAAAUUUUUGGAUCGCCAAAAUGGGCUAAUUGGGCUACUUGUGGAGUUAGAUCGUGUUAAUUAGGCGCUUGAGGCUACUAGAGUUUUCUUGGAGUUAGAUCGUGUAUGUCGCUUUGCUCAUAAUAUGCUCGUGCUAUUUAUAAUUAAUCUGUUCAUACA